AGAAAUGGCAGAUAAUUCGAUUCUGUGUUCUUGUUUUUGUACGAUUAUAAGUCUGUUCGCGCUCUUUUCGUGCCUCUCGUCCACUCUCUUUCAAUAAACGACCCGGGUCCUUCCAAUGCAUUCACUGUUUCGAGCUUUAGGAACCCUAACUCUGAAGUCAAGCCUUAUGAUUUGCGUUAUAUCCGAGGUGCGUCAAAUGAAACAACACUCCCCUUCAGUUCAUUUAAUUCAUUCAGUCUAUUUUUGGUUUUUCAAGGACGACAGGCUGCAGUGAAUGAUGGGUCGUUGUCAAAGUUUUAACUUCUAUCGAGAAUUUUCCCUAAUGAAUUGAACAGUGAUUGCCUGUUUUUGCUAGUUGUUCGGGUGUAUAUAAUUUAAGUAUUAUUUUUGAACUAAGGUCUGUUAGUAUCAGAUCUCCUUGGUCAAUGUUAAUAUUUUGACCAUAAACUUGUUUUCUUUUUGUUUUUUGGUGGACAAAUUUAUUUUCUUUAAUGUUUACUUAUCAAAUUGGAACUCAUUAAAAUGAGUUAAACUAUCUUUACAAUUGUUCUGCGUUUUGGUGUUUGUGGUGAUCUGAGUAACUUGUUAUGGUUAAUUGAUGUUGUUUCAAGCAAUUCAUCGAAUUCCUGAAUUAGUGGAACAGCUGAAUUACUGAUUUUUCUUUUUCUUUCAUUAAUUCAAAAUUUUAGCUGUAAACAUCUAAAUGAUUAAUUGUGCAAUGCCAAUAUAUAAGGGUUCUCAUGUUGUGCCUUGUUUCAGUUGAUUGCCCCCCUGUUCUUUUCUUUUUCCUUAGCAGUGGAGUUCGAUGUGGACCUUGUAAGUAUGUAUGUGUAAUUAAAAAGAAGUAUUCAAGGAUUUUCAGUCAAUUGCCAUUAUGUGAUUGUUAAUACCUGAAACUGAGGU
RNAcentral lists this unclassified non-coding RNA (903 nucleotides) under Hevea brasiliensis (rubber tree). Lineage: Eukaryota; Viridiplantae; Streptophyta; Magnoliopsida; Malpighiales; Euphorbiaceae. The record is from RNAcentral.